RNAcentral lists this long non-coding RNA (1444 nucleotides) under Triticum aestivum (bread wheat). RNAcentral describes it as "long non-coding RNA (TAES_LNC026152)". Lineage: Eukaryota; Viridiplantae; Streptophyta; Magnoliopsida; Poales; Poaceae. The record is from RNAcentral.
CAAAUAGUAUGAUCUCUGAAUGUGGUCAGCCGAGGUAGAAAAUGCUUCAUGGCCUGACCACUUUUACGAAACAAAUGUGAGAAUUAAAUUCAGCAGUAACAAUAUUCAGGACCAAUAUUGCACGAGUUAGAUCUGCAUCCAAGUCAAAUUUGAAUGUCCUCGGAAAGUCAUGGUGAGCAGUGACUGAAAUGAACACGGGAGAACCUGAAAGCAGGGGCAGGGGAAUUACAGGUCGCAUCAUAAGUAUUCCACAUCAUCGAGUUACAAAAAGAAUCAUACCAACAUCAUCAUAAGACUAGCAAAAAGAAACCCAAAUGAGACAUCCAUGAACAAAUUGGUGGAAAACACCCAUGAAAGCAGCAUUCAGUUCCUGCCUCUCCAGAUUUGGCCUGAACUAAUCAGUCAUCAGCUUAGGUAUCCAUAUCGGUAGCAUCAAUCCGAAACAAAUAACACCAAAAAAAAUCCAGGUGAGGUAGGGUGCCGCACCAAUUCAUUAAUAGAAAAAACCGCAGACACAAAAUGGUGGAAAGCACUGAUGGAAGCAGUUCAGUUCAAGAAGCAUGAAAGGCAUUUUGUUCAUGCCUCUCCAGAUUUGGUCUGAAUUAAUCAGCUCAUCAGCUUAGCUAUCCACAUAAUAUCACCGGCAUCUAUCUGAUCACACACUGACUACUGAGAGCUUCUCUACGAGAUGACAGUACGUGUUUUAAAGCUGACGCACUUGUAAUGUCUAACAAUGAGAUAUGCAAUUUCGCAGUUCUUUGGCCCUGACUCUAGUGUCAUACUAGAGUCUUCAGCCCCGACUUAGUGCCAUACCACUUCUCUUCACUGCCGGAACCUGUCCAUCUGUAUUCGCUGUUUGUCUAGAAACGAAGGCUGUCCCUUCCAUCUCAUCGCUGCCACUGCACCCCGUUUCAAUAUCAAUGUCUUCAUAAUCAUAUCGACGUGAGAAUGAGAUCUUCAUAAUAUCAACACCAGUAUCCGGUCAUCUUCCACUUUUGCAUGGCGAGCACCAGCUGGUUCAUCUUCUACCUCCCCAACACGGUUGGCUGGUGGAGCUCUCACUUCCUCUUGUAUGUAUGUCUGGAACUUGAGCUUGGAAGCCUGUACCUUGGUGCAGAAGACUUCUAGAAAGUUACUUAGGCAUCCUUGAUCAUAGACGUUAGGCCUACCACCUGACAGAGAUUCUCGUGCGUUGUCUGAAAUACCAAAAUACCUAUAUCAGACAUUAGGAUUUAGGAGCAAUGCACUGGAAGGAAACUACAGUUACUAACUUCAGACUGAAGGAGCCACUGUGCAAAAACUCAAAAUAUUGUACACUUUCAAAAAAGGCACAUUCACGACCUACAGUUACUAAUUUCAGAUUAGUAGCUCCAACCAAACGUACCCCUUUGCCACUGCUUACGGUGGAGAUUGAACUGAACUACCUAUUUCCAUAGAUGCGUAU